Molecule: long non-coding RNA, 539 nt
Organism: Micropterus dolomieu (smallmouth bass)
Lineage: Eukaryota; Metazoa; Chordata; Actinopteri; Centrarchiformes; Centrarchidae
Exons: 2
Source: RefSeq, a predicted model, not a curated record
GCAGAGCCAGCAGCCCCCGAGGCCGAUCUCAUCCCCGGACGGGGGACCAGCCCCCCCAGUCAAGCACCCCCAAGGAGGAGCACCAAAACCUACCCUGACCAAAUACUGCUUUACGCUAACAUAGAAGAAAAAUCCUUCGGGUGCUUAGAAAAAUGGAAACUAAUGGAAAAAUGGAAACUGUAACAUUUCAAAUAUUAAGAUUGUUCUGACAACUGCUGCUUGCAAAGUCACAAAUUAACUUUAAAUCUUACGUUUAAUCCGGUUUAGACUUUCUUUCAUGUUUGAGUUCACCAUCUUGAAGGAAAUAAACUUAUCCUGAAAGCUUCCGCAGUUGUGGGGUCAUGGGUUGGCAUUGCAUAUUUCCAAGCGCAUCGUGCUUUUCAUGUUCAGAUCAAGCUGAAUGAGCUGAUAUACCGAGGGUGAGGUUUCAGUCCCACAAACACAGAUGCAGUCAGGAUGUCUGAUGUUCUCUAAAGGUCACAGUAGAGCUUCAGGUUGUUCAUCAUGUCAUAUUAAACCUUCCUGUGUCUACAUCUCUC